GGAAGCCCAACAAGACCUAAUCCAUUACCCCUUCUUCUUUAACCCUUACACCCUAACCUUUUCUUCCUAACCCUACACACUACUAAAACCCUAGAGAAGACUCCUGAACACUCCAACCACCGAACCCUCUGUUGCCCAUAACCAAACCAACAACCCUUCUUCUCCAACACACAAAGAAGCAGCCCUAACGCCCUAAAAAUGCGCCGGAAAAAUGUCCAACCGCCGCCCGCCGCCCAAAUAACCUAACACACAACAACCAACUACCUGCCACCCCCAUCCUUUCUCCAUCUCCAGUAUCAAAUAGACCCCAGCAGCGGAACCCAGUAGCCGCCGUCGUUCCUAAAACCAGCGCCGCCGCCCUUCACCCUCACUGCACAAAGCCGCCGACCACCAACUCCACCAGCCCUUAAGCGGCAAACAUCCACCAAACGAGCAGCCGAUGUUGCUUCCUAACUCACUCCAAACGACCUGCAACCGUCUCACCUCCCAAUCCCAAACACACACACACAUGGAUAGAGGUGAGGAAGAUAUAAAUUUUGAAGAGGUUUUUGGACGUAAAUCGGAGAAGUAGAUCGAGAGUUUGGAGAAUUUGAGGGGUUCAUCAUUUACUGCGUUCGACGUCAACUUCCAAAAAAAAAAUAAGAGAAUUAACAAAAUAUUUCAAAUCUCUUUUACUUUAUUUCUGAUUUCAAUGGGAAUUUAUGAAGUUUGGCUACAGUGGAGUAAAGUUGAGGUCGUCGCCGUCCGCCAAAAUCCCGGUUCAAGUUCGAGGUAUGGAUUCAUUUACUACAGCUCGAGCAUGAGAGAUACCCUAGGAUCACUGCAUUCAGGAGCUUCUUGAUGAGCCUUUUUUAUGUUUUUGAGUCUAUUGUUCAUGUUUUAUUUCCUAGUCAUGUACAGUAGUAUUAAGUCAUUUAGUUGGUGCCAGAGUUGUCGUAGUAUAAUUUAGUUUGUCGAGUCUCUAAUUAUCGUACUUCCUGUUUUGUAUUUGAAAACCGAAAAAAAAAUUAAAUGAAAAAUCCAAAAAGAUUUUAUUUUUUAGUUUA
This is a long non-coding RNA of Nicotiana tabacum (common tobacco), 1046 nucleotides long. RefSeq lists it as uncharacterized. NCBI's taxonomy places the organism in Eukaryota, Viridiplantae, Streptophyta, Magnoliopsida, Solanales, Solanaceae. The record is from RefSeq and is a predicted model, not a curated record.